RNAcentral lists this ribosomal RNA (504 nucleotides) under Baseodiscus paracelensis. Its description in RNAcentral is "partial 16S rRNA". It matches the Rfam family "Bacterial large subunit ribosomal RNA", at positions 1816 to 2597 of the family's 2925-position model. The record is from RNAcentral. Lineage: Eukaryota; Metazoa; Nemertea; Pilidiophora; Heteronemertea; Baseodiscidae.
AGUUUGUCGUUUAUUAAUGACAAAUACUUUCUGCCCGGUGAUAUUUUUAACGGCCGCGGUACUCUGACCGUGCAAAGGUAGCAUAAUCAUUUGCUUUUUAAUUGGGGGCUUGUAUGAAGGAAAAAACGAAUGCCUAGCUGUCUCUGUGUAAGGGUUAGAAUUUUCUGUUGUUGUAAAGAAGCAACAAUGCCAAAAAGGGACAAGAAGACCCUAUCGAGCUUUAUUGUUUCUAAGAGCUGGGCUAAUAUUAAUAAAGGCUGUGAUUUUGUGAGCAAUUUCGUUGGGGCGACGAAAAAAGAAUAAAUCUUUUUUGAGUAUAAAACUUUAUCGGUUCAACCUUGAACGGCUGUUGGCCUUUGAGAGAACUAGUUACCGUAGGGAUAACAGCGUAAUUCUUUUUGAGAGUCCGAAUCGAAAGAAGAGAUUGCGACCUCGAUGUUGACUUACUUUUUCCUUUCUGGCGCAGAAGCUAUGAGGGUUGGUCUGUUCGACCAUUAAAAUAGU